CCUACGGGUGGCUGCAGUGGGGAAUAUUGCACAAUGGGGGAAACCCUGAUGCAGCGACGCCGCGUGGGCGAUGAAGUAUUUCGGUAUGUAAAGCUCUAUCAGCAGGGAAGAAGAUGACGGUACCUGACUAAGAAGCCCCGGCUAACUACGUGCCAGCAGCCGCGGUAAUACGUAGGGGGCAAGCAUUAUCCGGAUUUACUGGGUGUAAAGGGAGCGUAGACGGCGAUGCAAGCCAGAUGUGAAAGGCCGGGGCUCAACCCCGGGACUGCAUUUGGAACUGUGUGGCUGGAGUGUCGGAGGGGCAGGCGGAAUUCCUAGUGUAGCGGUGAAAUGCGUAGAUAUUAGGAGGAACACCAGUGGCGAAGGCGGCUUGCUGGACGAUGACUGACGUUGAGGCUCGAAAGCGUGGGGAGCAAACAGGAUUAGAUACCCGUGUAGUC
RNAcentral lists this ribosomal RNA (440 nucleotides) under uncultured bacterium. RNAcentral describes it as "partial 16S ribosomal RNA". It matches the Rfam family "Bacterial small subunit ribosomal RNA", at positions 338 to 795 of the family's 1533-position model. The record is from RNAcentral.